CGGUGCAUAGAAAUUAAUCUCU
RNAcentral lists this microRNA (22 nucleotides) under Lotus japonicus. RNAcentral's name for it is "lja-miR11097b-3p". Lineage: Eukaryota; Viridiplantae; Streptophyta; Magnoliopsida; Fabales; Fabaceae. The record is from miRBase by way of RNAcentral.